CCUGUAGCUUCCCUGUCACUUCUCUGGCUCUCCUCUCCUGCUAAGCUUUGUUUCCUGGCAGUAAUUAAAACCUUCUGCCACUGCCAUAGCUGCUGCUGCUGCUGGAACCGCCAUAGCCACCUUGGUUUCGUGGUUUGGCAAAGUAUUGGCCUCCACCACCAUAGGGGCCAGAGCUUCUGCCUCCAAAAUUUCCUCCUUUCAUGGGUCCAAAAUUUGAGGAUUGAUUGUUGUAAUUGCCAAAAUCGUUAUAGCUUCCGCCACCUCCAAAGUUGCUUCCACUACCACCGCCAUAGCCGCCUCCGCCUCCUCCGUUGUUAUAGCUGUCAUAGCUGCCACUCCCGCCAUAGCCACUGCCCUGGUUUCCAUAACCCUGUCCACCACUUCCAUAGCCUCUGCUUCCUCCAGAGUAACCAGGGCCGCCUCCUCCAUAACCACCGUCAUUACCAAAUCCGUUAUAGCCAGUCACAGCACCACCAUCUUAUCCUCCUACCAGCUACUCCUCUACACAGCCGACUAGUUAUGAUCAGAGCAGUUACUCUCAGCAGAACACCUAUGGGCAGCCGAGCAGCUAUGGACAGCAGAGUAGCUAUGGUCAACAAAGCAGCUAUGGGCAGCAGCCACCCACUAGUUAUCCCCCCCAAACUGGAUCCUACAGCCAGGCUCCAAGUCAAUAUAGCCAACAGAGCAGCAGCUACGGGCAGCAGAGUUCAUUCCGACAGGACCACCCCAGUAGCAUGGGUGUUUAUGGGCAGGAGUCUGGAGGAUUUUCCGGACCAGGAGAGAACCGGAGCAAGAGUGGCCCUGAUAACCGGGGCAGGGGAAGAGGGGGAUUUGAUCAUGGAGGCAUGAGCAGAGGUGGGCGGGGAGGAGGAUGCGGUGGAAUGGGCGCUGGAGAGCGAGGUGGCUUCAAUAAGCCUGGUGGACCCAUGGAUGAAGGACCAGAUCUUGAUCUAGGCCCACCUGUAGAUCCAGAUGAAGACUCUGACAACAGUGCGAUUAUGUGCAAG
Molecule: long non-coding RNA, 1007 nt
Filed under: Canis lupus familiaris (dog)
Lineage: Eukaryota; Metazoa; Chordata; Mammalia; Carnivora; Canidae
Description: lncRNA (ENSCAFG00030019540.1)
Source: RNAcentral